This 419-nucleotide ribosomal RNA is filed under the name bacterium. Its description in RNAcentral is "partial 16S ribosomal RNA". It matches the Rfam family "Bacterial small subunit ribosomal RNA", at positions 355 to 776 of the family's 1533-position model. The record is from RNAcentral.
UGGGGGAUAUUGCACAAUGGGCGAAAGCCUGAUGCAGCGACGCCGCGUGGGGGAUGAAGGCCUUCGGGUUGUAAACUUCUUUUGCUCUGAACAAGGCGCACUAUGGGGUGUGUUGAGUGUAGGGGUUGAUUAGCGCCGGCUAACUACGUGCCAGCAGCCGCGGUAAUACGUAGGGCGCGAGCGUUGUCCGGAAUUAUUGGGCGUAAAGGGCUUGUAGGUGGCUGGUUGCGUCUGUCGUGAAAGCUCAUGGCUUAACUGUGGGUUUGCGGUGGGUACGGGCUGGCUUGAGUACAGUAGGGGAGGCUGGAAUUCCUGGUGUAGCGGUGGAAUGCGCAGAUAUCAGGAGGAAUACCGGUGGCGAAGGCGGGUCUCUGGGCUGUUACUGACACUGAGGAGCGAAAGCAUGAGGAGCGAACAGG